Molecule: ribosomal RNA, 1637 nt
Filed under: Salmonella enterica
Lineage: Bacteria; Pseudomonadati; Pseudomonadota; Gammaproteobacteria; Enterobacterales; Enterobacteriaceae
Also listed under: 1 other name
Description: partial 23S ribosomal RNA
Rfam family: Bacterial large subunit ribosomal RNA
Source: RNAcentral
AGACCCGAAACCCGGUGAUCUAGCCAUGGGCAGGUUGAAGGUUGGGUAACACUAACUGGAGGACCGAACCGACUAAUGUUGAAAAAUUAGCGGAUGACCUGUGGCUGGGGGUGAAAGGCCAAUCAAACCGGGAGAUAGCUGGUUCUCCCCGAAAGCUAUUUAGGUAGCGCCUCGUGAAUUCAUCUCCGGGGGUAGAGCACUGUUUCGGCUAGGGGGCCAUCCCGGCUUACCAACCCGAUGCAAACUGCGAAUACCGGAGAAUGUUAUCACGGGAGACACACGGCGGGUGCUAACGUCCGUCGUGAAGAGGGAAACAACCCAGACCGCCAGCUAAGGUCCCAAAGUCAUGGUUAAGUGGGAAACGAUGUGGGAAGGCCCAGACAGCCAGGAUGUUGGCUUAGAAGCAGCCAUCAUUUAAAGAAAGCGUAAUAGCUCACUGGUCGAGUCGGCCUGCGCGGAAGAUGUAACGGGGCUAAACCAUGCACCGAAGCUGCGGCAGCGACACUGUGUGUUGUUGGGUAGGGGAGCGUUCUGUAAGCCUGUGAAGGUGUGUCGUGAGGCAUGCUGGAGGUAUCAGAAGUGCGAAUGCUGACAUAAGUAACGAUAAAGCGGGUGAAAAGCCCGCUCGCCGGAAGACCAAGGGUUCCUGUCCAACGUUAAUCGGGGCAGGGUGAGUCGACCCCUAAGGCGAGGCCGAAAGGCGUAGUCGAUGGGAAACGGGUUAAUAUUCCCGUACUUGGUGUUACUGCGAAGGGGGGACGGAGAAGGCUAUGUUGGCCGGGCGACGGUUGUCCCGGUUUAAGCGUGUAGGUGUGUGUUCCAGGUAAAUCCGGUUCACUUUAACACUGAGGCGUGACGACGAGGCACUACGGUGCUGAAGCAACAAAUGCCCUGCUUCCAGGAAAAGCCUCUAAGCAUCAGGUAACAUCAAAUCGUACCCCAAACCGACACAGGUGGUCAGGUAGAGAAUACCAAGGCGCUUGAGAGAACUCGGGUGAAGGAACUAGGCAAAAUGGUGCCGUAACUUCGGGAGAAGGCACGCUGACACGUAGGUGAAGUGAUUUACUCAUGGAGCUGAAGUCAGUCGAAGAUACCAGCUGGCUGCAACUGUUUAUUAAAAACACAGCACUGUGCAAACACGAAAGUGGACGUAUACGGUGUGACGCCUGCCCGGUGCCGGAAGGUUAAUUGAUGGGGUCAGCGCAAGCGAAGCUCCUGAUCGAAGCCCCGGUAAACGGCGGCCGUAACUAUAACGGUCCUAAGGUAGCGAAAUUCCUUGUCGGGUAAGUUCCGACCUGCACGAAUGGCGUAAUGAUGGCCAGGCUGUCUCCACCCGAGACUCAGUGAAAUUGAACUCGCUGUGAAGAUGCAGUGUACCCGCGGCAAGACGGAAAGACCCCGUGAACCUUUACUAUAGCUUGACACUGAACAUUGAGCCUUGAUGUGUAGGAUAGGUGGGAGGCUUUGAAGUGUGGACGCCAGUCUGCAUGGAGCCGACCUUGAAAUACCACCCUUUAAUGUUUGAUGUUCUAACGUGGACCCGUUACCCGGGUUGCGGACAGUGUCUGGUGGGUAGUUUGACUGGGGCGGUCUCCUCCUAAAGAGUAACGGAGGAGCACGAAGGUUGGCUAAUCCUG